This 30-nucleotide transfer RNA is filed under the name Oreina bifrons. RNAcentral's name for it is "partial tRNA-Leu". Lineage: Eukaryota; Metazoa; Arthropoda; Insecta; Coleoptera; Chrysomelidae. The record is from RNAcentral.
CCAAAUAUAAAGUUUAAGCUUUUUUUAGAA